CAAGUCUCUCGCCUUUUGGCUUAGAUCAAGUGUAGUAUCUGCUCUUCAUAGUUUAAUCGCGCCGGGCUUCGCCCGGGUGCAUUGCUGAUAAUCGAGUCUUCAUCCUUA
This 108-nucleotide small nuclear RNA is filed under the name Aureobasidium namibiae CBS 147.97. RNAcentral's name for it is "U2 spliceosomal RNA". It matches the Rfam family "U2 spliceosomal RNA". From Rfam's summary of the family: U2 is a small nuclear RNA (snRNA) component of the spliceosome (involved in pre-mRNA splicing). Complementary binding between U2 snRNA (in an area lying towards the 5' end but 3' to hairpin I) and the branchpoint sequence (BPS) of the intron results the bulging out of an unpaired adenosine, on the BPS, which initiates a nucleophilic attack at the intronic 5' splice site, thus starting the first of two transesterification reactions that mediate splicing. Lineage: Eukaryota; Fungi; Ascomycota; Dothideomycetes; Dothideales; Saccotheciaceae. The record is from Rfam by way of RNAcentral.